This 375-nucleotide ribosomal RNA is filed under the name uncultured organism. RNAcentral describes it as "partial 16S ribosomal RNA". It matches the Rfam family "Bacterial small subunit ribosomal RNA", at positions 527 to 896 of the family's 1533-position model. The record is from RNAcentral.
GUAGGUGGCAAGCGUUGUCCGGAAUUAUUGGGGCGUAAAGCGCGCGCAGGCGGUUCUUUAAGUCUGAUGUGAAAGCCCACGGGCUCAACCGUGGAGGGUCAUUGGAAACUGGAGAACUUGAGUACAGAAGAGGAAAGCGGAAUUCCACGUGUAGCGGUGAAAUGCGUAGAGAUGUGGAGGAACACCAGUGGCGAAGGCGGCUUUCUGGUCUGUAACUGACGCUGAGGCGCGAAAGCGUGGGGAGCAAACAGGAUUAGAUACCCUGGUAGUCCACGCCGUAAGCGAUGAGUGCUAAGUGUUAGGGGGGUUUCCGCCCCUUAGUGCUGCAGCUAACGCAUUAAGCACUCCGCCUGGGGAGUACGGCCGCAAAGGCUG